RNAcentral lists this ribosomal RNA (253 nucleotides) under uncultured bacterium. RNAcentral describes it as "partial 16S ribosomal RNA". It matches the Rfam family "Bacterial small subunit ribosomal RNA", at positions 524 to 776 of the family's 1533-position model. The record is from RNAcentral.
UACGUAGGGACCAAGCGUUGUUCGGAUUUACUGGGCGUAAAGGGCGCGUAGGCGGCGCGGUAAGUCACUUGUGAAAUCUCUGAGCUUAACUCAGAACGGCCAAGUGAUACUGCAGUGCUUGAGUGUGGAAGGGGCAAUCGGAAUUCUUGGUGUAGCGGUGAAAUGCGUAGAUAUCAAGAGGAACACCUGAGGUGAAGACGGGUUGCUGGGCCAACACUGACGCUGAGGCGCGAAAGCCAGGGGAGCAAACAGG